RNAcentral lists this ribosomal RNA (507 nucleotides) under uncultured bacterium. RNAcentral's name for it is "bacterial SSU rRNA". It matches the Rfam family "Bacterial small subunit ribosomal RNA", at positions 46 to 507 of the family's 1533-position model. The record is from RNAcentral.
GCCUAAUACAUGCAAGUCGAACGCAUUGUGGUUGAAAUGAUAUGAAGAACUUGUUCAGAUUUGAUUUUCAACAUUGCAAUGAGUGGCGAACGGGUGAGUAACACGUGGGAAACCUACCUCUUAGCAGGGGAUAACAUUUGGAAACAAAUGCUAAUACCGUAUAAUAAUUAAAACCGCAUGGUUUUAGUUUAAAAGAUGGUCUUGCUAUCACUAAGAGAUGGUCCCGCGGUGUAUUAGUUAGUUGGUGAGGUAAUGGCUCACCAAGACAAUGAUACAUAGCCGAGUUGAGAGACUGACCGGCCACAAUGGGACUGAGACACGGCCCAUACUCCUACGGGAGGCAGCAGUAGGGAAUCUUCCACAAUGGACGAAAGUCUGAUGGAGCAACGCCGCGUGUGUGAUGAAGGGUUUCGGCUCGUAAAACACUGUUGUAAGAGAGGAAUGACAUUGAGAGUAACUGUUCAAUGUGUGACGGUAUCUUACCAGAAAGGAACGGCUAAAUACGUG